GAUGAACGCUGGCGGCGUGCUUAACUCAUGCAAGUCGAACGAUGAAGCCGGAGCUUGCUCUGGUGGAUUAGUGGCGAACGGGUGAGUAACACGUGAGUAACCUGCCCUUGACUCUGGGAUAAGCGCUGGAAACGGCGUCUAAUACCGGAUACGAGCUUCCACCGCAUGGUGAGUUGCUGGAAAGAAUUUCGGUCAAGGAUGGACUCGCGGCCUAUCAGCUUGUUGGUGAGGUAACGGCUCACCAAGGCGACGACGGGUAGCCGGCCUGAGAGGAUGACCGGCCACACUGGGACUGAGACACGGCCCAGACUCCUACGGGAGGCAGCAGUGGGGAAUAUUGCACAAUGGGCGCAAGCCUGAUGCAGCAACGCCGCGUGAGGGACGAAGGCCUUCGGGUCGUAAACCUCUUUUAGCAGGGAAGAAGCGAAAGUGACGGUACCUGCAGAAAAAGCACCGGCUAACUACGUGCCAGCCGCCGCAGUAA
Molecule: ribosomal RNA, 484 nt
Filed under: uncultured bacterium
Lineage: Bacteria
Description: partial 16S ribosomal RNA
Rfam family: Bacterial small subunit ribosomal RNA
Source: RNAcentral